Molecule: ribosomal RNA, 568 nt
Filed under: uncultured Glomus
Lineage: Eukaryota; Fungi; Glomeromycota; Glomeromycetes; Glomerales; Glomeraceae
Description: eukaryotic LSU rRNA
Rfam family: 5.8S ribosomal RNA (bases 167-320)
Source: RNAcentral
GGAAGUAAAAGUUGUAACAAGGUUUCCGUAGGUGAACCUGCGGAAGGAUCAUUACUGAUUUGGCGGACCGAGCGUCAGCGAGGUUCCGCGAUCGCUUGUAUUUAAAACCCCCACUUUUGAAUUAUGUAUAUUUUUGUAUUUUUUAAAUGAUAAAAAAAAAAAAGAUCACUUUCAACAACGGAUCUCUUGGCUCUCGCAUCGAUGAAGAACGUAGCGAAGUGCGAUAAGUAAUGUGAAUUGCAGUAUUCCGUGAAUCAUCGAAUCUUUGAACGCAUAUUACACUUUCUGGUAUUCCGGAAAGUAUGCCUGUUUGAGGGUCAGUUAAAUAAAAUCGGUGUUGUUGCUGCCUUUCGUGGUGACGCGUCGGAAUUGAGUUGUCUUACCCUUCGGUUAAGUGACUUAAAAUUUUGCAUGAUUUUCGAACGUAUUUAAAUUGCUUACGUACGUUUGAGAUAUCGAAUAAUUAGGAGUGGUCAUUCUCAUGAUUCGCGCCUAUAAUUUUUCAUCAAAAUGACCUCAAAUCAGGUAAGAGUACCCGCUGAACUUAAGCAUAUCAAUAAGCGGAGGA